UACAGAGGGGGCAAGCGUUGUUCGGAAUUACUGGGAGUAAAGCGCACGUAGGUGGCGACGUAAGUCGGGUGUGAAAGCCCCGGGCUCAACCUGGGAAUUGCAUUCGAGACUGCAUUGCUGGAGUACGGAAGAGGAAGGCGGAAUUCCCGGUGUAGCGGUGAAAUGCGUAGAUAUCGGGAGGAACAUCAGUGGCGAAGGCGGCCUUCUGGUCCAGUACUGACACUCAAGUGCGAAAGCGUGGGGAGCAAACAGG
RNAcentral lists this ribosomal RNA (253 nucleotides) under uncultured bacterium. RNAcentral describes it as "partial 16S ribosomal RNA". It matches the Rfam family "Bacterial small subunit ribosomal RNA", at positions 524 to 776 of the family's 1533-position model. The record is from RNAcentral.